Molecule: long non-coding RNA, 533 nt
Organism: Ornithodoros turicata
Lineage: Eukaryota; Metazoa; Arthropoda; Arachnida; Ixodida; Argasidae
Exons: 2
Source: RefSeq, a predicted model, not a curated record
ACGGUUGCAACAUGUUUCAAUUGUCUCAGGCUUUCAGCGUUCGCUCGUCAAUUACAGAACAAAGAAGGAUAUGAUUUGCGUCGUAAGAGGGUUUUGUAUGUUUCGAGCGGCGGCAGCAGUUUUCCGUCCCGUCAGGUAAGUGUACAAGUAUCAGUUCGUGGCCGGUGUUGAUUGUGAACCAAAUUUGUUGUUGCUAUGACCAUUCUACUCGGUUUUACUCACUUGUGUUUGAACAUUACUAAUUUGCGAUUGAACGCCCUAUUCAGACACAUUUCUCUCCAGCGCUUCAGAGACAUCGCUUUCGCCGAAAUUCAGUGAAUUUUGAAGUCCACCGUUAUCGUGGGUCACCAGAAGAACUCAGACCGCAACCCGUCAUUGACUGUCUAUUGUGCCACGCGACAUUGUGUGGCAUAAAGCAUGUGUACGUGUGGAAUACUUCGCUACUGUGUGCGCGGGAUGUUUUGUAUGAUUGUGUCGACACUGGAUACCACUUUUAAGGUAUGUAUUUUCGGAAUAAAAUAGAUACAUAUAUA